UCCCCGGUACUUGUCAGAAAGGACAGAGU
This 29-nucleotide non-coding RNA is filed under the name Rattus norvegicus (Norway rat). Lineage: Eukaryota; Metazoa; Chordata; Mammalia; Rodentia; Muridae. The record is from RNAcentral.